Thalassophryne amazonica is the source of this 129-nucleotide long non-coding RNA. RefSeq lists it as uncharacterized. The record is from RefSeq and is a predicted model, not a curated record. NCBI's taxonomy places the organism in Eukaryota, Metazoa, Chordata, Actinopteri, Batrachoidiformes, Batrachoididae. The transcript is spliced from 3 exons.
GGGAUGGUUCAGGCUGAAAGCCCAGUCUGACGUGUCGGAUGUCACUGUCUUUCUGCAGUAGCAGUUGAACCAAUACGGGAUGCUUCAUGGAUACAAAUUCAUGGAUUUGAAAUGCAUCCAAGCUGGUUU